Molecule: ribosomal RNA, 253 nt
Filed under: uncultured bacterium
Lineage: Bacteria
Description: partial 16S ribosomal RNA
Rfam family: Bacterial small subunit ribosomal RNA
Source: RNAcentral
AACGUAGGACACAAGCGUUAUCCGGAGUUACUGGGCGUAAAGGGCGUGUAGGCGGACCUAUAAGUCUAUUCUGAAAGCUCCUGGCUAAACUGGGAGAGGCGAAUGGAGACUGUAGAUCUAGAGUGAGAAAGAGGAAAGUGGAAUUCCGCGUGUAGUGGUGAAAUGCGUAGAGAUGCGGAGGAACACCAGUGGCGAAAGCGACUUUCUGGUCCUUAACUGACGCUGAGGCGCGAAAGCAUGGGGAGCGAACGGG